GGAUGGGGAUGCGUCCGAUUAGCUUGUUGGCGGGGUAACGGCCCACCAAGGCGACGAUCGGUAGGGGUUCUGAGAGGAAGGUCCCCCACAUUGGAACUGAGACACGGUCCAAACUCCUACGGGAGGCAGCAGUGAGGAAUAUUGGUCAAUGGGCGAGAGCCUGAACCAGCCAAGUAGCGUGCAGGACGACGGCCCUAUGGGUUGUAAACUGCUUUUAUGCGGGGAUAAAGUGGGGGAUGCAUCCCUUUUUGCAGGUACCGCAUGAAUAAGGACCGGCUAAUUCCGUGCCAGCAGCCGCGGUAAUACGGAAGGUCCGGGCGUUAUCCGGAUUUAUUGGGUUUAAAGGGAGCGUAGGCUGGAGAUUAAGCGUGUUGUGAAAUGCCGCGGCUCAACCGUGGCACUGCAGCGCGAACUGGUUUCCUUGAGUGCGCUGAAAGUGGGCGGAAUUUGUGGUGUAGCGGUGAAAUGCUUAGAUAUCACGAAGAACUCCGAUUGCGAAGGCAGCUCACUGUAUCGCGACUGACGCUGAAGCUCGAAAGUGCGGGUAUCGAACAGGAUUAGAUGCCCUGGUAGUCCGCACGGUAAACGAUGGAUGCCCGCUGUUCGGCCUUUAGGCUGAGUGGCCAAGCGAAAGCGUUAAGCAUCCCACCUGGGGAGUACGC
RNAcentral lists this ribosomal RNA (662 nucleotides) under uncultured bacterium. RNAcentral's name for it is "bacterial SSU rRNA". It matches the Rfam family "Bacterial small subunit ribosomal RNA", at positions 223 to 885 of the family's 1533-position model. The record is from RNAcentral.